Molecule: ribosomal RNA, 662 nt
Filed under: uncultured bacterium
Lineage: Bacteria
Description: bacterial SSU rRNA
Rfam family: Bacterial small subunit ribosomal RNA
Source: RNAcentral
CGGACGGGUGAGUAACGCGUGAGAAUCUGCCCUCAGGAGGGGGAUAACAGUUGGAAACGACUGCUAAUACCCCAUAUGCCGAAAGGUGAAACGAAUUUCGCCUGGGGAUGAGCUCGCGUCUGAUUAGCUUGUUGGUGGGGUAAAGGCCUACCAAGGCUUCGAUCAGUAGCUGGUCUGAGAGGACGAUCAGCCACACUGGGACUGAGACACGGCCCAGACUCCUACGGGAGGCAGCAGUGGGGAAUUUUCCGCAAUGGGUGAAAGCCUGACGGAGCAACGCCGCGUGAGGGAUGAAGGCCUUUGGGCUGUAAACCUCUUUUCUCAAGGAAGAAGAUCUGACGGUACUUGAGGAAUAAGCCACGGCUAAUUCCGUGCCAGCAGCCGCGGUAAUACGGGAGUGGCAAGCGUUAUCCGGAAUUAUUGGGCGUAAAGCGUCCGCAGGCGGCCGUCUAAGUCUGUUGUUAAAUCGUGGAGCUUAACUCCAUCACGGCAAUGGAAACUGUUCGGCUUGAGUGUGGUAGGGGCAGAGGGAAUUUCCGGUGUAGCGGUGAAAUGCGUAGAUAUCGGGAAGAACACCAGUGGCGAAAGCGCUCUGCUAGGCCAUUACUGACGCUCAUGGACGAAAGCCAGGGGAGCGAAUGGGAUUAGAUACCCCAGUAGUC